GGGCCCUACGGGAGGCAGCAGUGGGGAAUAUUGGGCAAUGGGCGCAAGCCUGACCCAGCAACGCCGCGUGAAGGAAGAAGGCUUUCGGGUUGUAAACUUCUUUUGACAGGGAAGAGCAGAAGACGGUACCUGUCGAAUAAGCCACGGCUAACUACGUGCCAGCAGCCGCGGUAAUACGUAGGUGGCAAGCGUUGUCCGGAUUUACUGGGUGUAAAGGGCGUGUAGCCGGGCUGACAAGUCAGAAGUGAAAGCCCGGGGCUCAACUCCGGGACUGCUUUUGAAACUGUAUGGCUAGAUUGCAGGAG
RNAcentral lists this ribosomal RNA (305 nucleotides) under uncultured bacterium. RNAcentral describes it as "bacterial SSU rRNA". It matches the Rfam family "Bacterial small subunit ribosomal RNA", at positions 333 to 654 of the family's 1533-position model. The record is from RNAcentral.